This is a long non-coding RNA of Rhinolophus ferrumequinum (greater horseshoe bat), 2053 nucleotides long. RefSeq lists it as uncharacterized. The transcript is spliced from 3 exons. Lineage: Eukaryota; Metazoa; Chordata; Mammalia; Chiroptera; Rhinolophidae. The record is from RefSeq and is a predicted model, not a curated record.
UAGCCCGAAUUAUCCCAAAUUCCUGAAGGGCCCAAAAGCACCAACAAGGGUGAAGGGAAAAAUGAAAGAAGGGUAGUCAGAUUUAGCAAAUAAAAAUAUAGGACACCCGGGUAAAUCUGAAUUUUAGAUAACAUUAUUUUUUAGUAUAAGUAUGUCUCAUGCAGUAUUUGGGGCAUACUUAUACCAAAAAGUUAUGUUUAUCUGAAAUUCAAAAUUAACUGGGACCCUGUAUUUAAUCUGGCAACCCUAGGUGAAAGGGAAAAUGUUAAAAGGUUCUGGACGAGGCCUGAACCAUGACUGCUGGUGCAAGUUGGUGCAUAAGCAGAAUUCAUAAUUCGGUUGUUUAACAGAAAAGAACACAGUCCGACUGGUAAACAGGACAAGCCCUGGGCCUGCUGAGAUAAGCUGGGGAAGAGAAGGGCAGGAACCAGGAGCUUGCCAAGAGACUUCCCUUCAAGCUCUGACAUUUGUCCUGACAAGAUAAACAAGAGUAGGCUGCGUUUGCCCUCUGGAGAGAGUCGCUAGAUGUCAGCUCCAUUCCACACACAUCAAGUAUUCUGAGAGCUGCAUCCACCUCACAGGAUGAGGGCCCCCACUCCAUGGUUUAGACUCAAAUCACCUGUGGUUUCCAAACGACAGCUGACAUUGUUUAACAGAGAGAUGUUAGAAGAAUGUUUAAGAAGCUUCACAUGAUUUUCUUAUUAAAAAAAUUUUUUGGAAAAGAACAAAUCAACAACCUAAUUAACAAUUACAUAAAAACAAAAGUUGGGUUCAAAUACUGUUUCAGCGUUCUUAAUAAUCUUCCCUUCUUCCAAGCAUUUUCCUCUCUGGAGAAGAAUGUUGGAUCCUUCUGCAAUGAGAGACCCUCUUUGGCUUGCAGCUGAAACCCUGGGGUAUUCUUGACCUUCUAGAAUUUGGAGAGAGGACAGAGGUUCUUCUUGGGCCUGGCCUAACAUUCAUUUCAAAGGACCUUCAGGGUCCUACGUAUAAAGGACAUGUGAUCAGCGCACUGCUGCUCUCCAGGAACAGCGAGCUAACAACAGUGCUACCAGCUACUUCUACAGGGAGGGACCGUGAAGACCCACGGGGAUUUCAACAAGUAUUGAUGACCAGCGACCUCAAACACCUGUGACCCCAUUGGGAACUUGCCUGGAACCCCUGGAGGAUGCACUCUACCAAAAAGGAGUAAACUACCAAAGAAGAUGACAUGAAACAGAGAAAACUGGAGACUUGACACAGAGGGAAGCAAUUGAAACCCCUAGGAGGAUGGUAAAGGAAAAUGACAAGGUGGUAAUUGCGUUCUAGGAGUAGAAAGCAACCCUUCCAGAUUGGAACAGUGUGACUCAGAGCCAGGCAUGUUGACAGUUGUCAUCACCAUGCCCUGUGCCUUAUAUUAUCUUAAAUAAAUAUGAAAAUAUUUAACAAACAAACUUAAAAGCUUUGGAAGAGUCUGAGUGUCUGGCCAAACCCUUUGGGCUAAAGCAGACAUUCUUAAGGAUGCAGCUUACUCGUAUGCUGGCGAGGCUAAGGAAUUCACUCCACUUUAUAGUGUUUGCUUCCCAACUGGUGGCAAACGGUGGUCAUGGCUGAGCUCUGGGGCAGAGUGGGGAAGGACUGGAACAGAGAGGAAGGGAAGGGACCCAAUUCUCUUCCAUUCUUUACUGCCUAUAAGAGCCCCCAUUGGGAUUCUAGCUCAAAGACAAGCUGUCCCUUCAGAGAAUCAUGUAUAAACUUAAUCUUAACCUGUGAGGGAAGUGGUGUUUGAGCUUUUCUCCUGGGCCUGGUUCUCCUCCAGAUGAUAUUAGGCUAUUGAACUUCAGACAAACCAUAUCCCCAUUUCCUUUUCCUAGCAUAUAGUGUCCCAGAGGGGUGAGACAGGAGGAUCCAGCCUGGGCCUCUUGGACUCCCAAUUAGCUGGGCAGGUCUGGUGGGAUUUGUACUCCUAAACAUGUCCGCUCUCCAGACCUAGAAAUGUGGGUCUAGGCAGGGUAUGAGAAAAUUGAGCAAGGACACUCGCUUUAUUUUCUGUCCCAAACCAAGGAGGGAAGGGCUC